ACACCAACUCCCCGAGUGGUCCGGACGAUUAUUGGGCUUAAAGCGUCCGUAGCCGGCCUAGUAAGUCUCCGGUUAAAUCCGGCGUCUCAAGCGCCGGGCUGCCGGAGAUACUGCUAGGCUAGGGAGCGGGAGAGGCGGGCGGUAUUCCCUGGGUAGGGGUAAAAUCCUAAGAUCCAGGGAGGACCAUCGGUGGCGAAGGCGGCCCGCUAGAACGCGUCCGACGGUGAGGGACGAAAGCUGGGGGAGCGAACCGGAUUAGAAACCCUAGUAGUCC
RNAcentral lists this ribosomal RNA (274 nucleotides) under uncultured bacterium. Its description in RNAcentral is "partial 16S ribosomal RNA". It matches the Rfam family "Archaeal small subunit ribosomal RNA", at positions 473 to 747 of the family's 1478-position model. The record is from RNAcentral.